Molecule: ribosomal RNA, 355 nt
Filed under: actinobacterium FS4
Lineage: Bacteria; Bacillati; Actinomycetota; Actinomycetes
Description: bacterial SSU rRNA
Rfam family: Bacterial small subunit ribosomal RNA
Source: RNAcentral
UCGCUAGCAUGCUUAACACAUGCAAGUCGAGCGGUAAGGCCUUUCGGGGUACACGAGCGGCGAACGGGUGAGUAACACGUGGGUGAUCUGCCCUGCACUUCGGGAUAAGCCUGGGAAACUGGGUCUAAUACCGGAUAUGACCUCNUGUUGCAUGACUUGNGGUGGAAAGAUUUAUCGGUGCAGGAUGGGCCCGCGGCCUAUCAGCUUGUUGGUGGGGUAAUGGCCUACCAAGGCGACGACGGGUAGCCGACCUGAGAGGGUGACCGGCCACACUGGGACUGAGACACGGCCCAGACUCCUACGGGAGGCAGCAGUGGGGAAUAUUGCACAAUGGGCGAAAGCCUGAUGCAGCGAC